This 433-nucleotide ribosomal RNA is filed under the name uncultured bacterium. Its description in RNAcentral is "partial 16S ribosomal RNA". It matches the Rfam family "Bacterial small subunit ribosomal RNA", at positions 29 to 507 of the family's 1533-position model. The record is from RNAcentral.
AACGAACGCUGGCGGCAUGCCUAACACAUGCAAGUCGAACGAAACCUUCGGGUCUUGUGGCGCCCGGGUGCGUAACGCGUGGGAACCUGCCCUUAGGUUCGGACUAACUCCCCGAAAGGGGUGCUAAUACCGGAUAAUAUCUUCGACCCAAAGAUUUAUCGCCUUUGGAUGGGCCUGCGUUGGAUUAGCUCGUUGGUAGGGUAAAAGCCUACCAAGGCGACGAUCCGUAGCUGGUCUGAGAGGCGGAUCAGCCACACCGGGACUGAGACCCGGCCCAGACUCCUACGGGAGGCAGCAGUGGGGAAUAUUGGACAAUGGGCGAAAGCCUGAUCCAGCAAUGCCGCGUGAGUGAUGAAGGCCUUAGGGUUGUAAAGCUCUUUUACCCGGGAUGAUAAUGACAGUACCGGGAGAAUAAGCUCCGGCUAACUCCGUG